AGAGUCGGAUAUUCUCCGGCCUGAUGCCGAGCGUAGCCCUGUCGCCAGGCUUGAGGGCCACGCCAUCGGCCAGCGACACGGUCAUGGGCGCAAGACC
RNAcentral lists this small RNA (97 nucleotides) under Sinorhizobium meliloti 2011. RNAcentral's name for it is "putative ncRNA". Lineage: Bacteria; Pseudomonadati; Pseudomonadota; Alphaproteobacteria; Hyphomicrobiales; Rhizobiaceae. The record is from RNAcentral.